UACGUAGGGGGCGAGCGUUGUCCGGAAUCAUUGGGCGUAAAGCGCGUGUAGGCGGCUUGGUAAGUCUGGUGUGAAAUCUUGGGGCUCAACCCCAAGCCUGCACUGGAUACUGCCUCGCUAGAGUCCGGGAGGGGAGAGCGGAAUUCCCAGUGUAGCGGUGAAAUGCGCAGAUAUUGGGAAGAACACCGGUGGCGAAGGCGGCUCUCUGGAACGGUACUGACGCUGAGACGCGAAAGCGUGGGGAGCGAACAGG
This 253-nucleotide ribosomal RNA is filed under the name uncultured bacterium. Its description in RNAcentral is "partial 16S ribosomal RNA". It matches the Rfam family "Bacterial small subunit ribosomal RNA", at positions 524 to 776 of the family's 1533-position model. The record is from RNAcentral.